UCCAUGGAUGGAAUCACUACGCUCAGUAAAUAUUCCUCUGUGAUCAUCCUCUUUUUAAGCUCCCUCCACCUCCCUCUAUACGACUAGCCCAUCUGAAAAUAGAAACAACCUCACACAUAGAGAGAGGAUCAAUAAAAGAAGAACAACAUCAACAAAAAAAAUAUGAGUGAGUGUAAACGAUGCACUCUCACAAUUGUGCCUAUGGAAGAAGCAUCUUCAAGUGAACCCACCAUUUCCAAGAAACGGAAGACCGCGGCUACUGCUAAUUCUGCUUCCUUCCAGUUACGCUCUUCCGACACGCACCACUGGUUUCCCGACACUAUCGUGUCGCCGGAAGCUUCCGUCAAUUCCGCCGGCACCGUGGUUUCUGGUGAACCUUGCUCUGAUCGAUCGUGCUGUAGCUCCAGCCACGUUAAGGAGCUCCACACCGCGCCGUUAGAUCUGCAGACCAAGGGUUUCAAAACGGUACAUUCAACCAACCACAAUUUCAAAUCGUCCAGCUUGUUGAGUGAGUUUUCUGGAGACUCGGAAGAAUCGACGAUGUUUCCGGCGAAGUCUUCGGCGGAGGUGACCGAGAAACGAAAAGUCAAGGAGCCGCCUAAGGCGGAGAUCGAAGAGUUUUUCGCAAUGGCUGAAAAGUACGAGCAGAAGCGAUUCGUAGAGAAGUACAACUUUGAUAUUGUUAGAGAUACGCCGUUGGAGGGUCGCUACCAGUGGGUUCGUUUACAUUGAAUGCUUUGAAUGAGAGAGAGAGAGAGAGAGUUAUUUUAAUUUUAGAGAGAGAUUAAUCGAGGUAGACGGUUAAGGGGAGAAGAGAGAGUGACUUUAUUAUCGAGCUGGCCAUUAGACACUGGUGAUUGGUGAUUGGGGAGGUAGAUAACCUGACACAAGGUAAAACGAAAACGAGCGUGCGACUUCUGGUUGCUCCGGAGAGACGGCGAUAGUGCUGGUAGUGGUGGGUUAGUUUUUGUAUAGCUAACUGCUUUCUCUUUUUUCUAACAAGAAGCUGGUUUUUCUGCUACUCCGCACUCGAAUAGAAGUAGUACAAGCGUAGAACCUUCCUGUGAGACGAUGAAGAAAAAAAAAAUCAAUUUGGGUUCUGUGGGAAAUAUACAAUUAGAAAACAAAAAUUCCCGCAUUGAAUGGGUGAUCUAGAAUUUGGUCAUUUGGAAUAUCCUCUCCAUCCCGAGCUAUGAUGAUUCCCCUAUUUUUUGUGGGGACCACGUGUGCCUGGUUCCUAAGAAAUGACUGCACAGACUAAUUAAAGUCUUCUACAUCUCAUAUGCGGCUUUAUGAUUGAAUUUCAAGGUAUAUGCUUUGCAUUACCAAAAUACACAAAAUUAACAACCACUUACAAUGACCACCGAACUUACAACCUACCCUUUUAAUAAACAAAAGGGAGUAAUGACUCUUCAAAUCCAUGCACCUACCCUACAUGUCUAAAUUUAUGGAUUUGCUCGGUUAAUAAUGGAAACCAUGUUCUCCUUUUCCCAUAUUUUUUGUUAGAAUCAUUUUUUUUAAAUGAAUAGAUACCCAUGUAAGUGAAUCUGGUCCAUUUGUGAAUGCUAUUGUCUUUUUGGUGAUGAUCUUCAAUUAUUGAAGUUGCUAAAUAUGUAUAUUGAUGAUUAAAAGAGAUAAAAAGCAGUGAGGAGGUAUUACAUGGGUUUAAUUGAAAGUGAAGGGCUAUCGGUUCACAUGAAAAUGUUGGUGAUUAUGUACCAAUGAAGCAAAAUUGGCAAGUGGUGCUUCACUACAUAUUGAUUACACAACGUAUCUCAUAGUAAGCUCUAUAUAAUGGUUUGAGGAAAUAGAUAGGCAAAAAGUAAAGUAGCUUUUAAUCUUAAUUUUGAAUGUUUCCUUUUCUCUUUUACUUGUUGCUUAACGGUUGUUGAGUAAAGGAUACAUAGAGGUGACAUAAUAUUCGUUAUGAAGGAGUGAUGACAGAAUGAAUUGUAGAAACGAAAAGAAAGAGGGUCCAUAGGUGCCGUGUACAAUGCAAUGAUUACACACGUGUCAAAAACGGCAGCAGCAGCAGCAGCACCCUUAUCCAUGUCAUCAUGGAUCCAAAUGUGCACUUUCCAGCCUUCCACAGUCCAUUUUCCUUUUUCUAUAUGAUGAACCAAAAAUCGAUAUAAGAUAAAUGAUGGAAGUAGAAGACUUGCACGUGGUGUGGUGCAUUAAUAUCGCCAGGUUUAAUUUGCUUCGGAUCUGCUGCCAUUUUCAAACAGAGUGCACACCACGCAAAAACAGAUAUGCAGGAUUUUUAACGUGCCAUGUUAAAUUUCGCAAAAUCAGAUAUGCAGGACUUUAAUCAAAUUUAUUAUUAUUUGUCAGCUCAGGUACUGUAUAUUUAAUUUACUACCAU
This is a non-coding RNA of Vigna umbellata (rice bean), 2365 nucleotides long. The record is from RefSeq and is a predicted model, not a curated record. NCBI's taxonomy places the organism in Eukaryota, Viridiplantae, Streptophyta, Magnoliopsida, Fabales, Fabaceae.